AAAAUGGUCUUUUUUAAGACCAUUUUUUGUAUUUAAAGUAGCAAAU
Molecule: non-coding RNA, 46 nt
Organism: Proteus mirabilis
Lineage: Bacteria; Pseudomonadati; Pseudomonadota; Gammaproteobacteria; Enterobacterales; Morganellaceae
Source: Rfam